GGCGAGGGAAGGAAGAGAAAAUCUUCAGCGAGGGUAGUCGAAAAGAAGAGUCGUGCAGUAGAAAGCCACUCUAGGAGUAGGAGCCCACUAUGCCUGUCUCCCGGAAAACGUGGUCUUUCUCUCGAGGGUCUAGGAGACUUAAGGGACUGGGGCUACGAGCGUAGGCCGGGCGCUCGACCAACUUAUUGACUGCUGGGGCGGGGAUGGGGGGGAGAAACAGGACGGAGCAAAGUGGAGGGAAUUCGAAAUUUGGGCUGAAGAAGUCGAGGGGUACCUACCCCGUUUUCCCCCGCCUUCCUCGAUUAUCCACCGUGUUCCUCGAAACGUGCGACCCGGCGGCCUUGCGACUUUGUUAAGAAUUUUGGCUCCUUCUUAUCCUGCUUCUUCACCCCUCCUCCAAGCCUCCCGGACCUUUGACCACCGAGCGCUCUCUACCCGGGGGAGAAAAAAACUCGGGGAGGGCCUGUCCCCUCCGAAGCGCCGCUUCUCCUAGGACAGGAAGAAGUGACCUAUUACAGUGUCUCCAUUGCUGUUAAAGAAGUUCUCGGAUUCAUACAAUAGUGUAUAGCUAAGAGCUCUUAGUUCCUCUUUUCUUUUUAAAAAAUUUUUGGUUUGAAUAUUCCUUUAAUAUUACUUUUUAAUUAGAAGAAAAGGAAUAAAUAUAUUUAAUAACAAGACAAAUUUUCUAAAUGAGGAGAAACGAAAGACCCUUGUGAAUCGUGGAGAUUUCACCCGGUAUCACCUCUAAAGCAUUCCUAAUGCAAUAUAAUGAUUAAUCUCAGCCCUCAAAUUAUAUUCCACACUUGUUUUAGUUUCCCAUUCUCUGUGCUUACUGUUUUUUUCCUGCAACUUUAAAAAAGAGUUAUGGUAUAUUUAAUCAACUGAACAAUAAAAGUUAAACAGAAACAUCUAAAUAUCAAUAACAAAUAAAAUCCGAGACAUUUCUACUUACCUCUAAAGCUUUCGGGAGUGGAAUACUAUUCAAAAUAAAUUUCCAUUUCUUUUAUAGACCAUCUUUGGUAGAAUGUUAUACAGUUUUUAAUAGAUUCAAGUUACAGAAUGAUGCAGCUAGAACAUUAAAUAGGGAGUAGUGGAAAAUUUACAGUUAUAUAAGUUAAUGCAAAAUUCCACUUAAAGUAAUAGAAAAAUUGGGCUUUGUACCAAAUCAUUUUACAUUAAUUUAGUUCAGUUGUGCCAAUUUAAUGUCAAUUGAUAUUCAAUGAUUUCCUGUCUUAGUAUUAGCUGAAAACUACUGAUUUUCUGCUCCAAACAUCACAUUAUAUAGUAUGUGGUACAAACAGUAUUGCAUCUAUCUUAUAAAUUUACAUUCUUGUCUGAUUGUGU
Long non-coding RNA from Mustela lutreola (European mink), 1344 nucleotides. RefSeq lists it as uncharacterized. Lineage: Eukaryota; Metazoa; Chordata; Mammalia; Carnivora; Mustelidae. The record is from RefSeq and is a predicted model, not a curated record. The transcript is spliced from 3 exons.